GUAUGCCUACGGGACGCAGCAGUAGGGAAUCUUCCACAAUGGGCGAAAGCCUGAUGGAGCAACGCCGCGUGGGUGAAGAAGGUCUUCGGAUCGUAAAACCCUGUUGUUAGAGAAGAAAGUGCGUGAGAGUAACUGUUCACGUUUCGACGGUAUCUAACCAGAAAGCCACGGCUAACUACGUGCCAGCAGCCGCGGUAAUACGUAGGUGGCAAGCGUUAUCCGUAUUUAUUGGGCGUAAAGGGAACGCAGGCGGUCUUUUAAGUCUGAUGUGAAAGCCUUCGGCUUAACCGGAGUAGUGCAUUGUG
Molecule: ribosomal RNA, 305 nt
Filed under: uncultured bacterium
Lineage: Bacteria
Description: bacterial SSU rRNA
Rfam family: Bacterial small subunit ribosomal RNA
Source: RNAcentral